AGGUCUAGUUAUUCAAGCUGCUUAUGACACUUAUGUAAUAUUUGGGUUUUUCGUUGUUGUUUUGUGGUUUUAAUUGCUUGCUUGUAGCAUUAUUAUUGGCCUUGGCUCAAUUUCUGUGGUUACAGAUGGCUGUAGUCUGAAAUGGUUUCUGUCUGAACUGGCUUACGAUGCCACACUGAGUCAGAGGAAAAUCAAAGAUAAAAGAGGGCACAGAUCACCUCUGUCUCAGCUGCGUAGGAGCACAGCUGUACAGCGGGACCGAAGGUUGUCUAGUGGAAAGGGCAUUGAGUCAUGACUGACAGAAAUGACUCUACUCUGAAUGGAGACUUGACAGCAAAAAUAUAACAGAGGUGCAUCUCGACGACAUCUUCCACUCUACCUGCUGCUGAGAACUGUCCAGAAGCUGCCUGCUGCAAAGCUGAUGUUACCUCUACCCCGUUGCCGUGGGCUCCUGAGUUGGGACCCUGCUUGUUGCCCUGUGCUCUUAUCAGUGUGCUUGUUGACCUAGCUGUGUUCACUGCAUUCCAGUGCUGUUUGUUUGAAUUCCUCUGCUGUUUCAGCAUGGCCCAGUAUACUCAGUUUUGGUGCAUGAAGCAGUUGCCAGCUUCCCUCUUUGUGGUGGCUUUGAACGAUACUCUUGCAAAGUGUUCACCUGCCCUGAGGGAUGGAACGACUUGGCAAGAUGUCUGCAUUAUAAUUGGAAUAUUGCUCCUGCUGGGAGAAGACUUGAGAGAAUAUUUUUACUUUCCACCAGUUCCUGCUGUGCCUUGGCAUUUACAGUCCCUCUGGAGGAACACCGUCAGCAGUUUUCACCUCUGCCUUGCAGACCGGCUCAGCAGUGUGACAAGCGUAUGAGUUCAUCACUGAGCCCUCUAGGAACCUGGGCAUCUCAACUGCUACUGCUGGCCUCAGCAAGAACCUUCACGGAGAUGAACAGCGUGUAUUUGGACAUCUGAGGUAGCGCAGAUAUGUUGAUACAAAUGGAUUAUGGCUGUAAGGUUUUCCAGGUUCUUCAUGUUUUGCAUGAAAAUACAAAUUUGGCUGUUAACAGCGGCAUGAGGUUUCAUUUUAACUGCUAAGGACAUGAACAGAUCUGCCUUGCAGGCCAGGAAGGCUGCGUUUUCAGCUUUUGGGUGUGCAGCGCUAAUUAAAACUGUGCAGUCACAGGUCUGAAUCAAUCUAUAGAAGAGCAAUUACAGGGAUAUUAGGAAGGUAAAUCAUGUCUAUUACAUGAGUGCAUGUGCCUGGGAAAGGAUGCGGCUCCUCCACACAAGACGCUCUGAUUCCUGCACCAAAAAAGCUCAGGCCUGGAGAAAGCAGCUUGAUUUACACGUACACAGUGAAGGCAGCGAUUUGAGUAAUAAGCAUGUGAUGCAGGAUUGUGGUGAGGUGAGACUACUUGUGAGAAUGUAAAUGGAAGCAAGAGAGGAGAAGAGAUAAUGAGGGGUAUCAGCAGUAUCAGGAGUGGAGCAAGGCUGAUGGAAAGACAUUUUGAGGGCAGAGGCUGUAACAAACAGCCAAUAAACAUGAGGGAACGCUGAGCCCAAACUAGGAAGGUUGUGGGGAUGGCUGUCACUCCUGUCUCUGCAGAUUCUCUCAUGAGUUGCUUUAUUCACAUUUGAGACUUGACUGCACCAGAAAAGGAGUCUGCUGUCAUCUCAGAUGUCACCUGGAGCAUCUGCUGUUUACUUAUUUUUUCUGUCUGAAGUUUCUAUCCAAGCAGGUUAUCUGCAUAUUAUAUUUCCAGUAAUAGACUGAAAGUAUUGGUCCAGAUCUCUAAGUUUAGGACCUAAGGUUUAUCUAGAGGCUAAACUAGAGCAAGUCUAAUGUUGGUUAAAUCAGACAUGGCUGCAGACAGCCUCGUGUGGCACAGACAGGUGUUCUGCUGUCCCUUGUUCCUGCACUCCAUCAGCUCUAGGCCACCUCACAUAUUAUCCUACGCAGAGGGAGCUCUCAUGUAACACACUGAGCUGCCUAUUUGUUUCUCCCAUCUGCUCGUAUCUUCUAGUGCGGGGAUUAGAAUUUGCCUUGAGGAAUCCCCAUUUUCUUCUUAUAGCUGUGCUGAUUCACCAUGGUGAGGGGUUCAGGUAUGAGAACUGCAGCAGCCUGUGAUCAUACCCUGCUCAGCUGUACCCCUACAGCUCUGCUCACUGCUAAUAGAACACUGAUGUGCACCCAAGGGGGUAGUUUGGCUCUGUUUACAUUACCAGAUCUGCAUAGCAUGGCAUUGCUCAGAAAUAGUUUUCUGGCUUUUGCAAACCUGUUGCUAUGAUUAGAACAGGCUUUUGACAAAUGAAUUCCUCUCUUCAUAUCCUUAAGACCUUUUAGUUAUUCCAAACUUGAUUGCUGGAAACAAAACAAAACUCAUAUAUUUUCUUUGUAUAGAGAUGUAAUUUGUAUCUGCAUUCAGUCCAAGAGGCAGAAUAGAUCAAAAAGGUGGUGUUUUUUUUCUCCUUAUUCCUUUGACCUAAAUAGUUUCUGUCCCAAAAGGAAAUAAAACAAUGUCUGGGCCUGCUUAGAAAACUGAAAAGAAGAAUAUACUGCUUUAAUACAAGUAAAAAUCAUUAGAAUCUUUAGGUAUAGCUGAUCCAGCUGGGAGGUGGGAGAAUGCAGUCAAUAAGCCCAUAUCAGUAUCCCUUCCAGCUAUGUUUUCUAUGGUAAUGUGAUGGGGAAGAGGACAAUUAUCAGCAAUAUCCAGUGUGAACACAGGAGCAGAUUUGGAGUGCUGCCUGAUUACAAGGUAUCUGUCUAACACUCACUGUCACUGUACGAGCGUGCCUUAAUGAGCACUGAAAACAUGCAGUUACACGGUCUAUCUAUGGCAAAAGUAGACUGUGGUGCUGAUGUUUUUUCUACAGCACCAAAUGCUGAGCUUUAGUGCUACACAGGCUCUAGGAUCAUCAGCUGAGGACAUCAGAACCCAUCAAUCCCUGACCUUCAUUUGCAACAGAAAUACUAAGAAUCAUUAAGAUUAAUUGUUAACUGAAAGUAUCGACCCUACAGAGGCUUUCAAUACAAGGUAAACAUCUUUUCAAUAAGGAUGGAUGAUCACGAAGUGUAUUUUAUCUACUCAAAAACAGGUAAUCAGCUUUAACUGUGAGAACAACAAAUGAUCCUGAUCUAUUUCUAAAAAGGCAGAUCCUGUUCUGUCAUCUGAACAGCUGAGUAGGAGGUAUCUGUAUAUUUAAAGACAAGAGACCAGACACACAGAACAGAUUCCGGUUUGGCUCUUAUACUAGAAUUUACUUAGUUCUCAAUGCAGCUGAGAUUAUAAUUUCUAAACCCUUUGCUCCUCAUCAGAGUUAUUCAAAUCUGAAUUUUAAACCUGUGUUUCUACAAAGUUGGCUGGGAGCAAAUUCAUUUACCUAAUGUGAUGGUUCGGCUCAGCACGCAGAUUAAGAUGCCUAAAUUUAGAUGUCUGCACGUAGGUGUUUAUUUGUGAGCUCGCUGUCGCAGCUCCCAUUGCAGUCAGUGGAGGUACCUGCGUUUGGUUAGCUUAAUAGCACCUGGGAUUCACUGAGUAUUGAUCAGAUCACCACUAUCUGUAAAGGCAGCUUAGACACCCGACUUCCAUCUAGAUACUUAUUUGAAAACGUGUUAUCAGGAGCCUCAAAAUGCAAAUGGAAUUUGAGCUCAGGUAUUUAUAAAGCAGACAGCUAAAUCUUAGCAGGUAUUUAUCGAGUAGCUUCCCAGCAUAAUCGAUGAAAAGCUGGUCAGCAGAGCUUAGAGCGUGAUUAAUCUUAUCAAAUAAGAGUGUUUUAUAAUGAAGUGAAUCAUGACCUGAACUCCUUUGUCUGGCUCUGCAGCUACUAUGAUGGGCGCCCAGACACCUGGCUUACACACAGGCUCAGACGUUGUAGACACUUAAGUUUGUGAGAUCAGCCCAGCCCAGGUGGCUACAAGAUGAUCAGAUCAUCUACUCCUACUUUCUGUACCAGGCAGGUGUGCAGCUGAGUUCAUCAGUCUACAAGAAGGUGGUCACUGUGACCUCACUUACCUAUGGCUAACUCAGAGUCUCUGCCCUUAUAGGCACGUCCAAGCUCUUCUACCUAGUCUAGACAUAGAGCAGUAGUAUUCCUUUCUGCACAGCACAGUGGGGGUGCCCCAACUAUCCCUCCUUCCCAUGCAAAGGAACUGGGGAGGACUGAUCCAGAACGCAGCAUUAUUAUGCCUUUAUAUCGCAGUGCAAAUGUUCUAGCAUAAAACAAUCAAGAACAAUCUGAUGCAGCCUGCGUGACAGAUGUUCAUAGUUGUCUGGAAAGUCCAGGAUGUAUUUUAAGUGCCAAACUGUAUGUCAUUCAAUUAAGUGAUACAGUGGGUACAUUGGCCUUGUCAGAGGAUAUUUCUAAGUGCUCUGUGUCAUCCAGUUGUAGUGGAGAGACCUUACAAUGAACUGACUCAUUUUCCCAAAUGCACAUUGCACCUUAAUCUUAACUCCAGUGGGAGCAGCGCCUUGAAUUCCCCAUCACCUCCCCUGCUUCUAAUUGAAAUGCUUCAAAGCUUUGCCUUGAAAGAGUGUACGCAGACCAGGCUCUGCCUGUCUGAGAGUUACAAAAACAGGAUGUAUUUUAUUUGGCUGCUGUGAGCGCAAUGGUCAGGGGUCAUUUUCAUUUAAGACUCUUUUUUUUUUCUCUCAUGGUUUGCAAACGUAUUUUUUCUCCUGAAUGACAGUAAAAAUAAAAUGCAUUCUUCUCUUAAGUAUCUCCAGGCAAUUUAUUGUCAGUUAUUUGCUAUAUCUUGCUGUAUCCCAAUCUAGUCCCUGCUUACCUUCUCUCUUUUCUCAGGUUUCAGCCUCCAUUGUGAGGGAAGACCCUGGUUGCUUCCCAGGAAUCAAUGAGAAGACACAAACACGUUUUAAUUUACUGGCUAUUUCUUUUCCUGUUACUUCUGUUCUUCUUCGUGCCUUUCUAAAGUGAGAACUGGUAAUGAGUUCUUCCUUUAUUUAAAUGGCAUGCUGUACUUUCCCCUUGUUUUUAACAGCUCCCCAGUGAGGUUCUGCUUUGCCCUGUUUCAUUCACCCCCUCUGAAGUUUUGAAAGUUCACUUCAGGAAGAUUUCAUCAUAAGAACUUAAGGAAAAUAAUAUAAUCUUGCUUUAAAACACUUCCUUCCUCUGUUUUGCUGAUGAAUUACAACAAUUCACAAUACCAUCUGGCCAGUAACUGGUACAGGUCCUGUACGUUCAUUGUUUCAAGUGUGUUUGUUUUGGUUGCAGAGCACAUAGGGUGAGGAUUCCCUCAGUGCUGUUCUGAUCAGACAAACCCACACUACAACAACACGUCAAGGGGUGCCCAAACUUUUGGAACUGGGCUGCAAACAGCUUUGGAAAAUGACCAUCAGUCCCACAGAGAACUGGAAGGUGGGUCCUGUGGUGGAGAGCAAAACACAGAACUCAUUUUUGCAGCCUGAGUCAUUUUCUGAAAUCAGAGGAGAAUAUGAACAGAAAUCCAACGUUCUCCUGCAUAAAUGGACUCUGCAGGAAUUUCCUCAGCUCACAGAUCCAAUUCCUGUGGCUUUUUCUUUAAUUGCUGAGUUACUGUAACUCAGAGUAAUGGACGUGCAGCCAGUCAAGAAGAUUCUGUGGGCUCAUUUAAUUCACUUGUCUGCUGUUAAGAAGACUGUGAAAGUGCAGAAUGAGUCAAAACAGUCUCUGGUGAUUAUGAGUUUCCUUGCAGCACUCACAGUGCAGUGAAUGUUGUCUUCUCAAUUACAGCCACUCACCAACAGAAACGCACUGUCUGUCCCAUGAGCGGAUGCUUCAUCUUCUGUGUCACAGCUGCUCCAGCCACAACCCUGCUGACCCGUAGCACGUUUGGUGUUCAUUUUUUGAUACAGAACUUUUGAUCACCAGCUUUUUCACAUAAGCCGUAGCCUGAUAAUAAGAAAUGAAGGCUAGCUUCACAUGAAUGGCAUCGGGUGUCAAGUUCUUGUAAUUUAUUUUUAGUCCCUCAAACCAUUCUAGUCUUGGAUUAAGAUUCUUUAAAGCAAAUGCUCAACACGGGGCAUUUUCCUGCAUGUUGUCUCAUUUAUGUGGGCUCAAAUAAUUUCCACGUGAACUACAGCACAUCGUAAAGCUGCGUCGUAUUCUUUUAAUUUUUAGACUGAAGGGUUUCAAACGGAACGGAACGUAAUUAGAUUACAAGUAAUCUCUUCCCAUUUUGAUCCCAUUCUCAAGAGUGUUUGCAAAGAAGCUUACUUGAGUCUUAAAUGCACAACUUUAAAUCGUGCUGACGGCGAUGAAUAAAAGAAGCACGCUCGUAUGAAAGCAUGUCGAUGUUUAGGAGUUGAUCAAGUAAAAUACGUAUCUCCAUUGGCAGUUUCUGCCUUCAGAAGCAUUAAAAACCUUGACAUGUUCUCUAAAACUUCUGCACAAAACCUUUAACAUGUGGAUUCAGUCCUUCCCUACCCACGUCUCCCAUUUCUCCCCUGAAUCAACAUUAACCCUCAGUAAUAGCUGCUUGUAACAGGGUUCCCAAAGAGAUGGCACAGUUUCUAUUAAGGUGUCAGCCUGCAAGAUAAACUGCAGUUCAGAAGUAUUUUCAAAGAGCCAUCACCUUCCUGGUAGUAUAUUAAAAGAGAUUAUGCCUUGCCAGAGACAGCAAGCCCUGUCAGGUCAGGGCAAAACAACAUUUUAAGCCGAUUGACUCAUAUAUCUCAAGGUAUGUGUGUCCUUGCACAAAUUCACUUUCGCCUCAACCCAGUAUUUAAGAAAAUCCACCUUUAAUGGUGUCGAUUGAUCUGAAGUGUAGUAUUGAACCCUGUGUAUCAUUUUGAGGUUAGGGAUGGAGCAAAACCUCCAAGUAUGAUAGUAAAUAAUUGGAUUAUAAGAAACUUUCCUUUAAGGAAAACAAAGCCUUUUAUGUGAUGUUUAGUGCCUCAUCUUCCCUAAAACUCUUCUUCGCAUAAUAAUUUAGUGACAGGAUAAAGCUUGUUAGCACUCCACAGGCACUUGCCAAAGGUUUUUGAAGAUUCACACUGCUUUACAGUGUAAAGCUGGCUUUGUUUGCCAGAGCUGAGGGCUGCCUUCAAUAACAGCAGCCUCUGACAGUCUCCCUGUCCCGAGAGUGCUGCAGCUUCUUUGCAGGAUGAAACUGAGCAACUGGUUCCUAGUAAGGCCUGGUGUAAACACCGACCUCAGCAAAAAGUGCACUUUCUUCAUCAGCCAGGAGCCUGAAUUACCCAACAGUCCCAUAUUUGGGCAAUUACUGCCCACACGUGAUGGCCCCACCGUGAGAAAUGAGCUUGGAUGCCACUGUUGUUAAACGCCCUGAGAGAGCUUGGCAGGGGUGGAAUAACAUGCUUUAAAACAUGCCCCAUUUUGUGCUGUUCUAUACACAUUCUAUAUAACAUGGAAGAAAAUACUUUUCACUGUUGGAAAAAUACAUAUAUAUAUAUUGAUCUUCUAUAAGGAGCUUUUCUUAAACAAAUUGAAUAUAUUUCUUCUCCAUCAGACAUUUACACUUCUCUGUCUGCUUAUUUCAGCAGUAAAUGGAAAAGGUCAUAAACAUUUAACUUUCACGCUACCUUAGACAAGUAAUUACACCUUUUGUGGGAUCCACUAUUACAGCUCAGAGCAUCUUUGCAUUUACUACAUGUAGCUUUAAGAGGUUUUUGAA
Non-coding RNA from Coturnix japonica (Japanese quail), 7614 nucleotides. The record is from RefSeq and is a predicted model, not a curated record. NCBI's taxonomy places the organism in Eukaryota, Metazoa, Chordata, Aves, Galliformes, Phasianidae.